This 1326-nucleotide long non-coding RNA is filed under the name Homo sapiens (human). RNAcentral's name for it is "HSALNT0353983". Lineage: Eukaryota; Metazoa; Chordata; Mammalia; Primates; Hominidae. The record is from RNAcentral.
CGGUAGGAGCCCCACAGCGUCAGGGCGGGGAGGGCGCUUGGAGAUCCCCCGGGUCGGCCCCCUCCGCACCCCGAUCGACUGAGGCCCGGAGAGUUCAGGAACCGGCUCGGGAGACCUCAGCGCCCGAACUCGGAGUUUUCGGACUUUUCAGGCCUCUGCCAAGGGCUUGGACUCGCAGGUGAAAGGACGGGCUCAUCUCACUUUUUUGUCCUGAGAGGAUGGUGGAAAGCUGCACUUGAAGUCCAACUCUGUCCUGGGGGAAUAAUUAUGUUCCCUGUCUUGGGAGCCUUUCUUCAGGGAGCUUGAUGGUUCCAACCCACCCAGGAGCCUGGGACAUCUGUGCCCCUGGGCAAUCCCCUGCAGUUUCCUGAUUCCAAGAUGAGGGGGUAGAAUCCGAAGAUCUCCAAGGCCUUGAUGAGUGCUACCAGUCUGCAAAUUCCCAAGCCAAGUUCUUCAAUGAAUCAAAUUUCCUCCAGUAGCCAUUUCUACCAAAGGAGCAACUGUUUUUCCUUCCCACUGACAUGGCUAUGUAUUCGAACUGGAUAUAGGUGAGAGGCAUUUUUGUCCUAGCUUCUCGGGCCCCUCCAAGGAGCUCCAAGAGGCUUAAGGAUCCCAGCCAUGUUGGGAUAAAAAUACCCAAUCAAUCAAUAAACAUUUUAUUUAAAAAUGAUUUAUUUAAAAAAUCACACAAUUUGAGAGCAAAUACAGAAGAUAUGAAUUAGCAAAACGAACAAAAUUAAAAUCUCAUACAAUCGCAGGACACUGGGACCUGAAGUCUUGGAGAGGAUGUAAUCACUAAGUCAUCCCAAGGAAGAGUGGGAUGCCUACAAGAGAGGGAUGCCUACAAGAGAGGGAUGCCUAAAUUGGUUACCCCUAAGCCCACCGACUUUUAAGGCAUGUGUAAGUGAGUGGGAACCUGCAAAAAGACUGGAAGGAGCAGCCAGAGAGGUAGGAAGAAAACCAGGAGUGCCUGUUGUCACGGAAGCUGAGGGCAAGGAGGACAGUGGUUGGGAGAAUCUGAUGCAGCAGCUCCAAGGACCAUGGCCCCAGGAACUAGGCACAAGUGACAGGAGACACUUGCUAUGUCUAAACCCAGUGCACCCUCAGCCCGGCCUCGCCUUUUCAAGGACGGCUAGCACAGGCCAUCAUCCUGGCCCACGAUGAAGCAGGUGGCCAAGCGGGAUGGGAGCGCGGGUCUCCCCAUCCCCAGCGGUGACGGGCGGCGGCUCUUUCCUGAAGAAUGGGGCGGCGUCCGCAACGGGAACCGCUGGAGGCGCUCCCCGGGACCCUGGCCCGCCCUCGCCCCCGCGCAUGCCUGGCCGCUGA